UACGGAGGGUGCGAGCGUUGUCCGGAAUCACUGGGCGUAAAGGGCGCGUAGGUGGCGCGACAAGUCAACGGUGAAAGCCCGGGGCUCAACCCCGGGUCGGCCGUCGAUACUGUUGGGCUUGAGCACUGUAGAGGCAGAUGGAAUUCCGGGUGUAGCGGUGGAAUGCGUAGAUAUCAGGAGGAACACCGGUGGCGAAGGCGGGUCUCUGGGCAGUAACUGACGCUGAGGAGCGAAAGCGUGGGGAGCGAACAGG
Molecule: ribosomal RNA, 253 nt
Filed under: uncultured bacterium
Lineage: Bacteria
Description: partial 16S ribosomal RNA
Rfam family: Bacterial small subunit ribosomal RNA
Source: RNAcentral